GAUGAACGCUGGCGGCGUGCCUAAUACAUGCAAGUCGAGCGAACAGACGAGGAGCUUGCUCCUCUGACGUUAGCGGCGGACGGGUGAGUAACACGUGGAUAACCUACCUAUAAGACUGGGAUAACUUCGGGAAACCGGGGCUAAUACCGGAUAAUAUUUAGAACCGCAUGGUUCUAUAGUGAAAGACGGUUUUGCUAUCACUUAUAGAUGGACCCGCGCCGUAUUAGCUAGUUGGUAAGGUAACGGCUUACCAAGGCAACGAUACGUAGCCGACCUGAGAGGGUGAUCGGCCACACUGGAACUGAGACACGGUCCAGACUCCUACGGGAGGCAGCAGUAGGGAAUCUUCCGCAAUGGGCGAAAGCUUGACGGAGCAACGCCGCGUGAGUGAUGAAGGUCUUCGGAUCGUAAAACUCUGUUAUUAGGGAAGAACAAAUGUGUAAGUAACUAUGCACGUCUUGACGGUACCUAAUCAGAAAGCCACGGCUAACUACGUG
This 497-nucleotide ribosomal RNA is filed under the name uncultured bacterium. Its description in RNAcentral is "partial 16S ribosomal RNA". It matches the Rfam family "Bacterial small subunit ribosomal RNA", at positions 28 to 507 of the family's 1533-position model. The record is from RNAcentral.